RNAcentral lists this ribosomal RNA (774 nucleotides) under uncultured Neocallimastigales. Its description in RNAcentral is "partial large subunit ribosomal RNA". It matches the Rfam family "Eukaryotic large subunit ribosomal RNA", at positions 23 to 635 of the family's 3401-position model. Lineage: Eukaryota; Fungi; Neocallimastigomycota; Neocallimastigomycetes; Neocallimastigales. The record is from RNAcentral.
GAGACUCUGUGCGCGUGCAUAUCAAUAAGCGGAGGAAAAGAAACUAACAAGGAUUCCCUUAGUAACGGCGAGUGAAGCGGGAAGAGCUCAAAUUUGAAAUCUUCAAGGUUCUACCUUGACGAAUUGUAGUUUAUAGAAGUGUUUUCUGUUAGUAGAGUGGCAAAAGUUCUUUGGAAUAGGACAUCAUAGAGGGUGAGAAUCCCGUAUUUGGUCAUUCCUCCUAGCGUUGUGAUACACUUUCAACGAGUCGGAUUGUUUGGGAAUGCAGUCCAAAAUGGGUGGUAAAUUUCAUCUAAAGCUAAAUAUUGGCGAGAGACCGAUAGCGAACAAGUACCGUGAGGGAAAGAUGAAAAGAACUUUGAAAAGAGAGUUAAACAGUACGUGAAAUUGUCAAAAGGGAAGCGUUUGACACCAGUGUUGUUUUUCCGAAAAUCAACUACGAAUGUUUUAUUUUUGAGGAGUUAUGACUUCAUCGGCUUGCUCCUUUCUUUAUGAAACUUUCUUAAUGCACUUUUCGGUUAACAAGUCAACAUCAACUUCUUUUGUUGUAAAAGGGUAUGAGGAAGGUGGCUUUCUUUUCGGAGAAAGUGUUUAUAGCCUUGUACCUCUGCAAUCGGAGAGAUUGAGGUCUGCAGCGUAGAUCCUUCGGGGUUAGAUACAUUUGUGCUAAGUUAUAGCUUUUCAUAGACAACUUGUUGACUAUGCUUAGUCUUGUAGCUUACUCGCUUAUGCUAUUUUACCUACGCUUAGGAUGUUGAAGAUGUAGCACAUCAU